Molecule: long non-coding RNA, 394 nt
Filed under: Drosophila melanogaster (fruit fly)
Lineage: Eukaryota; Metazoa; Arthropoda; Insecta; Diptera; Drosophilidae
Description: antisense RNA:CR43908 (Dmel_CR43908)
Source: RNAcentral
CUUGGUUUUCUUGUUUUUCUUGCUGUUCUUUUUCUUGCUCUUGGUGGUCUUCUUGUCCUUCCUGUGACGCCGGUUGACGUAGUGCCUCGUGUGCCGAACUUUCUUAUCGCUCGACGAUGAUGAACUGGACGCCUCCGUGGUGGUGGUGGUCGUGGGAGCAACUGUCGUUGUAGUGGUGGUCGCCGUGGAUGAUGAGGAACUCGACGACGACGAAGUUGGAGAAGUGGACGAAGUUGGAGAAGUGGACGAAGUUGGAGAAGUGGACGAAGUAGGUGAAGUAGAUGAAGCAGGUGAAGUAGAUGAAGCAGGUGAAGUAGAUGAAGUUGAACUAGCCACUGCCAGGAGGCUGGCGAGGAUCAGUACGCAGAGGAAUCGCAUCUUGCGGCUUUGGGGC